Molecule: ribosomal RNA, 629 nt
Filed under: uncultured bacterium
Lineage: Bacteria
Description: bacterial SSU rRNA
Rfam family: Bacterial small subunit ribosomal RNA
Source: RNAcentral
AGAGUUUGAUUAUGGCUCAGGAUGAACGCUGGCGGCGUGCCUAACACAUGCAAGUCGAACGGAUCCAUGCUGAAACCUAGUGAUGCAUGGAUUAGUGGCGGACGGGUGAGUAACGCGUGGAUAACCUGCCGUAUACUGGGGGAUAACACUUAGAAAUAGGUGCUAAUACCGCAUAAGCGCACAGUCUCGCAUGAGACGGUGUGAAAAACUCCGGUGGUAUACGAUGGAUCCGCGUCUGAUUAGCUUGUUGGCGGGGUAACAGCCCACCAAGGCGACGAUCAGUAGCCGGCCUGAGAGGGUGAACGGCCACAUUGGGACUGAGACACGGCCCAAACUCCUACGGGAGGCAGCAGUGGGGAAUAUUGCACAAUGGGGGAAACCCUGAUGCAGCGACGCCGCGUGAGUGAAGAAGUACCCCGGUACGUAAAGCUCUAUCAGCAGGGAAGAAAAUGACGGUACCUGACCAAGAAGCCCCGGCUAACUACGUGCCAGCAGCCGCGGUAAUACGUAGGGGGCAAGCGUUAUCCGGAUUUACUGGGUGUAAAGGGAGCGUANACGGCGGCGCAAGUCUGGAGUGAAAUCCCGGGGCUCAACCCCGGAACUGCUUUGGAAACUGCGCGGCUCGAGUG